UAGGGAAUCUUGCGCAAUGAGGGAAACCUUGACGCAGCGACGCCGCGUGCGGGAUGAAGGCCUUCGGGUUGUAAACCGCUUUCAGCAGGGACGAAAUUGACGGUACCUGCAGAAGAAGGACCGGCCAACUACGUGCCAGCAGCCGCGGUAAUACGUAGGGUCCUAGCGUUGUCCGGAUUUAUUGGGCGUAAAGAGCUCGUAGGCGGUUCGGCAAGUCGGAUGUGAAAUCUCCACGCUUAACGUGGAGGGGCCAUUCGAAACUGCCGUGACUCGAGUCCGGUAGGGGAGUGUGGAAUUCCCGGUGUAGCGGUGAAAUGCGCAGAUAUCGGGAGGAACACCAGUAGCGAAGGCGGCACUCUGGGCCGGUACUGACGCUGAGGAGCGAAAGCGUGGGGAGCAAACAG
This 404-nucleotide ribosomal RNA is filed under the name uncultured bacterium. Its description in RNAcentral is "bacterial SSU rRNA". It matches the Rfam family "Bacterial small subunit ribosomal RNA", at positions 355 to 775 of the family's 1533-position model. The record is from RNAcentral.